AAAAAUGUGAAACCUUUCGAAAUAGGUUGUAAUGUUAAUCUUACAUAUGUGGAAGCAUUACAACUCCAUGUAUAUUAGAAACCUAUUACAGGAAAACAUCUAUAAAUUAAUACUCGAUAAAUUAAUAAUCUCUAUAAAUUAGUAAAUUUCGUCGGUCCCAGCUUGGACCGAUGUAAAAUGACAUAAAUCGAUAAAAUAAUAAGAUAAUAAUAUUUUUAAAACUCUCAUGUAAAUAUAUAGUCUCAUUAAAAUCAUAAAUUAAUAAUCUGUCACUAUAUAUUUUUAUAUAAGCAAAAACUAAACAUCAUAUUGUUAGUUUUAUAUUCACAAUGAAAAUACUUUCAUUUUUCUUAAUAUUUUAAUAUAUUUUGAUAAUAUUUAGUAAAAUUAUAUGGAAAAUCACAUAACAAUUCUAUAAAACAUAAAAAUAUACACUAAAUAAGAUAAUAAAAUAAUAUGAAAGUCAAAUUUCUAAAAUAUACAGUAAAAUCAAAUAUUUUCUUAUUUUAUUAAUAAAAGUAUUCAAAAAUAGAAAAAAAAUCUAAAAAAAGAACAUUAUGUAAAUUAAUAUCUUUAUAAAUUAAUAAAAUUUUAAAGUCUUAGUAUUAUUAAUUUAUAGAUGUUCUACUAUUUUGUAAACAUAAACAAUAAUAAAAAAACACAAAAAAAUCAGCACGACUAUAUCAGCACAAUUCUAAAUGUCUUAUACACAAACAUAAAAUCUAUAAAAAAAAAAUACAGUUUACAAAUAUUUGUAUUUCUAAUAAAAUUUUGAAAAGAAAACGAUUCCGCCCUUUGAAAACGCGGAUCAAAAUCUAGUAGUAUAUAUAAAGUUGGUUGGUCUAAAUCAUUCGGUGGCAUAAAAUGUAAGUAAUGUAGUAAAAAGGCUUAUUACACUAGGACUCUGAGAGGAGCCGAUAGACUGACACAUCUUAUAUAUUAAAACAGAAGUCACAACCUUGAUUCAUGUGUGAUUUUUUUAAAAAUG
This 988-nucleotide long non-coding RNA is filed under the name Brassica rapa (field mustard). RNAcentral's name for it is "long non-coding RNA (BRAP_LNC002715)". The record is from RNAcentral. Lineage: Eukaryota; Viridiplantae; Streptophyta; Magnoliopsida; Brassicales; Brassicaceae.